This 506-nucleotide ribosomal RNA is filed under the name uncultured bacterium. RNAcentral describes it as "bacterial SSU rRNA". It matches the Rfam family "Bacterial small subunit ribosomal RNA", at positions 791 to 1296 of the family's 1533-position model. The record is from RNAcentral.
UAGUCCACGCCGUAAACGAUGAACACUAGAUGUCGGGGGCUCUUGUCCCUUCGGUGUCGAAGCUAACGCGUUAAGUGUUCCGCCUGUGGAGUACGGCCGCAAGGCUAAAACAUAAAGAAAUUGACGGGGGCCCGCACAAGCGGUGGAGUAUGUGGUUUAAUUCGAUGCAACGCGAAGAACCUUACCUGGGUUAUAAUGCUCUUGCACGAUCCAGAGAUGGAUAUUUCCUUCGGGACAAGAUGCAAGGUGCUGCAUGGUUGUCGUCAGCUCGUGCCGUGAGGUGUUGGGUUAAGUCCCGCAACGAGCGCAACCCCUAUUUCUAGUUGCCAGCAUGUAAUGAUGGGGACUCUAGAGAGACUGCCGGCGUAAGCCGCGAGGAAGGUGGGGAUGACGUCAAAUCAUCAUGGCCUUUAUGCCCAGGGCUACACACGUGCUACAAUGGCGAAUACAGAGGGCUGCCAACCAGCAAUGGUGAGCCAAUCCCUUAAAAACUCGUCGUAGUCCGG